Molecule: ribosomal RNA, 450 nt
Filed under: uncultured bacterium
Lineage: Bacteria
Description: partial 16S ribosomal RNA
Rfam family: Bacterial small subunit ribosomal RNA
Source: RNAcentral
GUGGGGAAUCUUCCACAAUGGACGAAAGUCUGAUGGAGCAACGCCGCGUGAGUGAAGAAGGGUUUCGGCUCGUAAAGCUCUGUUGUCGGGGACGAAUGUGAGAUACUUGAAUAAAGUGCCUCAAUGACGGUACCUGACGAGGAAGCCACGGCUAACUACGUGCCAGCAGCCGCGGUAAUACGUAGGUGGCAAGCGUUGUCCGGAAUUAUUGGGCGUAAAGGGAGCGCAGGCGGGAAGGUAAGUCGGUCUUAAAAGUGCGGGGCUCAACCCCGUGAUGGGAUCGAAACUAUCUUUCUUGAGUGCAGGAGAGGAAAGUGGAAUUCCUAGUGUAGCGGUGAAAUGCGUAGAUAUUAGGAGGAACACCAGUGGCGAAGGCGACUUUCUGGACUGUAACUGACGCUGAGGCUCGAAAGCCAGGGGAGCGAACGGGAUUAGAAACCCGGGUAGUCC